RNAcentral lists this long non-coding RNA (242 nucleotides) under Mytilus galloprovincialis (Mediterranean mussel). Lineage: Eukaryota; Metazoa; Mollusca; Bivalvia; Mytilida; Mytilidae. The record is from RNAcentral.
AAUGUUCAGCAAAAUAAGAUCUACAAAUAAGUCAAACAUGACCAAAAUUGUCAAUUGACCCCUUAAGGAGUUAUUGUCCUUUAUAGUCUAUUGUUAACAAUUUUCAUAAAUUUUUGUUAUUUUUUGUAAAUUUUUAGGAAAUAUUUUCCACUGUAAUUACUGGGCCAAGUUCAUUAUAGAUAGAGAUAAUUGUAGCAACAAGAAUGUUCAGUAAAGAAAGAUCUACAAACACAUUACUAUCA